Molecule: ribosomal RNA, 459 nt
Filed under: uncultured bacterium
Lineage: Bacteria
Description: partial 16S ribosomal RNA
Rfam family: Bacterial small subunit ribosomal RNA
Source: RNAcentral
CUACGGGUCGCAGCAGUCGAGAAUCUUCGGCAAUGGGCGAAAGCCUGACCGAGCGACGCCGCGUGCGGGAUGAAGGCCUUCGGGUUGUAAACCGCUGUCAGAGGGGAGGAAAUCCGGAGGGUCCACUCUUCGGUUGACCUAGCCUCAGAGGAAGUCCGGGCUAAGUUCGUGCCAGCAGCCGCGGUAAGACGAACCGGACGAACGUUAUUCGGAAUUACUGGGCUUAAAGGGUGCGUAGGCGGCGCGGUAAGUUGGGUGUGAAAUCCCUCGGCUCAACCGAGGAACUGCGCCCAAUACUGCCGUGCUCGAGGAAGACAGAGGUGAGCGGAACUCAGGGUGGAGCGGUGAAAUGCGUUGAUAUCCUGGGGAACGCCCGUGGCGAAAGCGGCUCACUGGGUCUUUUCUGACGCUGAGGCACGAAAGCUAGGGGAGCGAACGGGAUUAGAUACCCGCGUAGUC